Molecule: long non-coding RNA, 417 nt
Filed under: Sinocyclocheilus anshuiensis
Lineage: Eukaryota; Metazoa; Chordata; Actinopteri; Cypriniformes; Cyprinidae
Description: lncRNA (ENSSANG00000008040.1)
Source: RNAcentral
CUGGCUGGAUGCAUCAUGUGAUCAGAUACCUGGGCGUGGAGCUAGCGUUCAGUGUGUUAUUCGGGAACGGGAAUCCCGGAACCGCAGAUCUCUGUCUCUCCACGUGUGAGUGACAUGUGAACUUUCCGUGCACCGGGAAUCUAUUCUUCUCAGUCUGAAGGGAAUCCGUGGUCUGGACGCUGCAACUACUGCCAAGGUUUUCCCACUCAUCUUCUUCUGGGGCAGCAGACUGUAAGGCGGGAAGGGGAUGCUGGGUAACGAAGGCCACGCCUGUUUGGCAGAGCGCUGACGUCCGUCGCUCAUCUCCCGGGAACGGCGGCAAGGUCAGGCGCGGCGGAACGGAAAGAGCGUCUGGAGCAUUAAAUACGGAUCAGAUUCAACACACACACAGUUCUCACUCAUGUGGAUGAAUUAGAU